Molecule: long non-coding RNA, 2158 nt
Organism: Pyrus x bretschneideri (Chinese white pear)
Lineage: Eukaryota; Viridiplantae; Streptophyta; Magnoliopsida; Rosales; Rosaceae
Exons: 2
Source: RefSeq, a predicted model, not a curated record
UUAAUUUUAAAAUUAUGUGGGUCGUCAGAUUGGUUGAGAUUUAAAUCUCAAAUCGUUGUUUUAUAAUUAACCCUAGUAACCUCACUCUCAUUGUCUCUCACCCGAUUCGCCUCCUCUGCCCAAAUCCAAAUCGAGCUCUCCGUCUUCCUCUAUCCUCCCACGUCAGUGGGAUCACCCAAAUUUGUCGCCUGAAUCGUGACUCCACCCACACCAAUCCUUAAUCCUCAGUCUUCACUUCGUGAAUUCGUCCCCUGAAUCGCGAUUCCACCCACAGUCCACACCACCUUGCCCGAAUCGAGCUCUCAGUCGUAGUCCUCACUCCUCCUCACUCCACAAGGUAAGAAUAUCAUGCAAUAAACUCAACCCAAGUUCAUGGAUAUUGUUUUAUUUUGAAUUCGGUUAGUGAUUUUGAAUAUGGGUUAUGAAUCAGGGCUUUUGAAAACGAUCUCUGAAUUAGGGAUUUUGGAUUAGGGUCUCUCUAUACCUCUCUCUCUCUCUCUCACUCCUCUCAUAUCUGGGUUUUACCUUUGUUUUUUUUUUCUUUGAAAAACACCAACACCACCCAUGCAUCAUAUUUGAGUUCGUGUUUUUUCGUUUCGAGUUUAUAUCUUAUGAGAUCUGACAUGUAUAUUUUGUAUCUCGCCUCGUUGCUUAUGGAUUUGAGUUAUGAAAUUAUUUUACAUUUUUUUUUCAUACUUGCCCGUUGCAUGCAAUUUUGGAUAUGAAUGUGAUGGAUUUUUGGUUAAUUCAUACUGUGAAGUUUCUCGGUGACUGGUUUGGUCGACCCGAUCCAACUCAUAUUGGAGCGGUUUAGAGCCUUGUUCACUCUGUCUCUGCAACCUCAAAGGCCCUGGCCUUGUCACGGCCCCAUUGCUGGUUCGUAUUCUUUAUUUGUAUGGAAGAAUUUCAUAUCUAUUAUUAUAUUUACGGAGCCAUGUUGCUUAGAAUUUUAGGAUUUUGGAUCUUCAAUUUUUGGAAAAGCGUAAGUUUUUUUUAUUGAUUUAUUAGGAGUUGUCUUGAUUCGACCCCUCCCCCAAUAAUUAUUUAUUCGUUUUUGACUUUUCUUUUAUGGUGUGGUAGCAUUGAAAGAAGAGGAUUUAGUAAUUGAAUCUAGGUAGAGAUGAAAUCAGAAGUGAAACACAAAAAAAUGUAUUCAAAUGUGAAGUUCUUAAGGUGCUAAUGUUUAAUCAUGUUAGUACAAGUUUCAUCAUGGAAAAUGCAAUAUCGUUAUACUGUCUAUGCUAACUUAAACAAAUAUUUACCAGGUAUGUGAUUAAAAUAAGCAACUCACUUUGACCAUAAAUAAUAUACAUACUUAUAUAUUUCUGUGAUUCAGGUGAGUCAGGUGACCAUGAGCUGAAUGUAUUAUCUCCAACCCAAAAAUUGCUUUUACAACCUGAAGUGAGGAAUUUGAAUCUUUGAGAUGGCAGAUCUGGAACUUGUAGGUAUUGAUUUUAAUUAACUCUGUGUAGGUGUAAUUUUGGACUGAUUGUGUUUUGAAUUCGACUAUAUUUGUGUUGGCUUCUGAUGAAUAUAGUAGUCUAUGUUAGCUGAGUGAGUCUUUUCUCACUGACAUCAAGCUAGAGAUUAUGUCGAUCUUCAACAGUUUUUGGCCAUGGUCGCUGUUAAUAGCAUUAAUUCCAUUUGGUCAAUUUCUAUGGUUUGUUCCAAAAUGUACCCUGGUCUUUGUGUUUGAAUACUAGAAUCAAAAUGAAGAUGAUAAUAUUUCUGCACCAAAUCUGAACCUUGAGCAAUUAGCCAUGUAAUCUUAUGCAGAGUGUGAUGAGUCUGAACAAUGUAGUAAUGCACAGUCAGUUGUUAUGGAGGGUGGACUUAUUUUUAAUACUUGUGAACUUAUUUUUGAUGAGGAAUAUUUGUAUACUUUCUGCAUCCAUUGUUGGUUGUUCUGGAGGGUGGAGUUGUUAUAUAAGAAUCAUCUUAAAGCAAGUGGUGGAAAGACCCUUGAAGCAAAUAAGAGUCCUCCCACAAAGCAAAGAUUUGAUGAGGUGCAAGGCCUGCUGGGAAGAUGCAUCUGUCCAAAAAUGUUUGCUUUCAAGUUUUUUUUUUUAUUCUUUGGGUAUUAGAGAGAAAAUAUGUAACACAACAAUAUAUGUUUGUGAGAUUCAGAAAGUGAAAGUUGGUUUCAUGGUUGUAGGCA